AUUGAAUGCUGGCGGCAGGCCUAACACAUGCAAGUCGAACGGUAACAGGAAGCAGCUUGCUGCUUUGCUGACGAGUGGCGGACGGGUGAGUAAUGUCUGGGAAACUGCCCGAUGGAGGGGGAUAACUACUGGAAACGGUAGCUAAUACCGCAUAACGUCGCAAGACCAAAGAGGGGGACCUUAGGGCCUCUUGCCAUCGGAUGUGCCCAGAUGGGAUUAGCUAGUAGGUGGGGUAACGGCUCACCUAGGCGACGAUCCCUAGCUGGUCUGAGAGGAUGACCAGCCACACUGGAACUGAGACACGGUCCAGACUCCUACGGGAGGCAGCAGUGGGGAAUAUUGCACAAUGGGCGCAAGCCUGAUGCAGCCAUGCCGCGUGUAUGAAGAAGGCCUUCGGGUUGUAAAGUACUUUCAGCGGGGAGGAAGGGAGUAAAGUUAAUACCUUUGCUCAUUGACGUUACCCGCAGAAGAAGCACCGGCUAACUCCGUG
Molecule: ribosomal RNA, 490 nt
Filed under: uncultured bacterium
Lineage: Bacteria
Description: partial 16S ribosomal RNA
Rfam family: Bacterial small subunit ribosomal RNA
Source: RNAcentral